Molecule: long non-coding RNA, 320 nt
Organism: Eurytemora carolleeae
Lineage: Eukaryota; Metazoa; Arthropoda; Copepoda; Calanoida; Temoridae
Exons: 2
Source: RefSeq, a predicted model, not a curated record
UAAAAUGUAUUUAUAUUUUUGUAUUUUUUGUGAACAUCCUGUGAGCACUGUGUAUUUUUAAGUAUAGACUCAAGGUUAAAACUGCGCCUUAAAUCUAACAUUGAAAUCUAGAAAACAUGAUAUCAUCAGUUGUAACCAACCAAUCUUUGAGCAGCUCCGGAGUUCCAAACCAACUCUGUACCAACAAAAAGGUUCUAAAGGUUCAUCAACACCUGCAGUUGAGAAGCUCCCUAAAUCCUCCCACAGAAACUAACUACACAGUAAUAACGCUCCCAUAUAUUCCGUAACAAGUUUUUACCAAUAAACAUUUUCAAACCCCA